AGCGGCGGACGGGUGAGUAACGCGUAGGAAUCUACCUAGUAGAAGGGGAUAGCCCAGGGAAACCCGGAUUAAUACCGUAUACCUCCUUCGGGAGAAAGAAGGCCUCUCUUUGAAGCUUCGCUACUAGAUGAGCCUGCGUAAGAUUAGCUUGUUGGUGAGGUAAAGGCUCACCAAGGCAACGAUCUUUAGCUGGUCUGAGAGGACGAUCAGCCACAUUGGGACUGAGACACGGCCCAGACUCCUACGGGAGGCAGCAGUGGGGAAUGUUGGACAAUGGGCGUAAGCCUGAUCCAGCCAUACCGCGUGUGUGAAGAAGGCCUUCGGGUUGUAAAGCACUUUAAGCAGGGAGAAAAAGUUAUAAGCUAAUACCUUAUAACCUUGAUGUUACCUGCAGAAUAAGCACCGGCUAAUUCCGUGCCAGCAGCCGCGGUAAUACGGAAGGUGCAAGCGUUAAUCGGAAUUACUGGGCGUAAAGCGCGCGUAGGUGGUUUGUUAAGUUGGAUGUGAAAGCCCUGGGCUCAACC
RNAcentral lists this ribosomal RNA (524 nucleotides) under uncultured bacterium. RNAcentral describes it as "bacterial SSU rRNA". It matches the Rfam family "Bacterial small subunit ribosomal RNA", at positions 94 to 614 of the family's 1533-position model. The record is from RNAcentral.